RNAcentral lists this ribosomal RNA (253 nucleotides) under uncultured bacterium. RNAcentral's name for it is "partial 16S ribosomal RNA". It matches the Rfam family "Bacterial small subunit ribosomal RNA", at positions 524 to 776 of the family's 1533-position model. The record is from RNAcentral.
UACGUAGGGUGCGAGCGUUAAUCGGAAUUACUGGGCGUAAAGCGUACGCAGGCGGCUGCGCAAGACAGGUGUGAAAUCCCCGGGCCCAACCUGGGAACUGCACUUGUGACUGCGUGGCUAGAGUCCGUAAGAGGGGGGUGGAAUUCCACGUGUAGCAGUGAAAUGCGUAGAGAUGUGGAGGAACACCGAUGGCGAAGGCAGCCCCCUGGGAUGAGACUGACGCUCAUGUACGAAAGCGUGGGGAGCAAACAGG